UACGUAGGGGGCAAGCGUUGUCCGGAAUCAUUGGGCGUAAAGCGCGUGUAGGCGGCCCGGUAAGUCCGCUGUGAAAGUCCAGGGCUCAACCCUGGAAUGCCGGUGGAUACUGUCGGGCUCGAGUCCGGAAGAGGCGAGUGGAAUUCCUGGUGUAGCGGUGAAAUGCGCAGAUAUCAGGAGGAACACCGAUGGCGAAGGCAGCUCGCUGGGACGGUACUGACGCUGAGACGCAAAAGCGUGGGGAGCAAACAGG
RNAcentral lists this ribosomal RNA (253 nucleotides) under uncultured bacterium. RNAcentral's name for it is "partial 16S ribosomal RNA". It matches the Rfam family "Bacterial small subunit ribosomal RNA", at positions 524 to 776 of the family's 1533-position model. The record is from RNAcentral.